GUGCUCACUUUGGUAGCACAUACACUGAAACUGGACCAAUACAGAGAUUAGCAAGGCCCCUGUGCAAGGAUGUCAGGAAAACAUAUUCUUCUAUUU
Small nuclear RNA from Cervus hanglu yarkandensis (Yarkand deer), 96 nucleotides. The record is from Ensembl. NCBI's taxonomy places the organism in Eukaryota, Metazoa, Chordata, Mammalia, Artiodactyla, Cervidae.